This 907-nucleotide ribosomal RNA is filed under the name Pseudogymnoascus pannorum. RNAcentral's name for it is "LSU rRNA". It matches the Rfam family "Eukaryotic large subunit ribosomal RNA", at positions 36 to 964 of the family's 3401-position model. The record is from RNAcentral. Lineage: Eukaryota; Fungi; Ascomycota; Leotiomycetes; Thelebolales; Thelebolaceae.
UAGCAUAUCAAUAAGCGGAGGAAAAGAAACCAACAGGGAUUACCUCAGUAACGGCGAGUGAAGCGGUAACAGCUCAAAUUUGAAAUCUGGCCUCACGGUCCGAGUUGUAAUUUGUAGAGGAUGCUUCGAGCAUGGUCUGGCCUAAGUUCCUUGGAACAGGACGUCAUAGAGGGUGAGAAUCCCGUAUGCGGCCAGGUGCCUACGCUCAUGUGAAGCUCCUUCGACGAGUCGAGUUGUUUGGGAAUGCAGCUCAAAAUGGGUGGUAAAUUUCAUCUAAAGCUAAAUAUUGGCCAGAGACCGAUAGCGCACAAGUAGAGUGAUCGAAAGAUGAAAAGCACUUUGGAAAGAGAGUUAAACAGUACGUGAAAUUGUUGAAAGGGAAGCGCUUGCAACCAGACUUGCGCGCGGCCGAUCAUCCGGUGUUCUCACCGGUGCACUCGGCCGUGCUCAGGCCAGCAUCGGUUUUGGCGGCUGGAUAAAGGCCCUAGGAAUGUAGCUCCUCUCGGGGAGUGUUAUAGCCUAGGGUGCAAUGCAGCCUGCUGGGACCGAGGACCGCGCUUCGGCUAGGAUGCUGGCGUAAUGGUUGUAAGCGGCCCGUCUUGAAACACGGACCAAGGAGUCUAACAUCUAUGCGAGUGUUUGGGUGUCAAACCCAUACGCGUAAUGAAAGUGAACGGAGGUGAGAACCCUUAAGGGUGCAUCAUCGACCGGUCCUGAAGUUUACGGAAGGAUCUGAGUAAGAGCAUAGCUGUUGGGACCCGAAAGAUGGUGAACUAUGCCUGAAUAGGGUGAAGCCAGAGGAAACUCUGGUGGAGGCUCGCAGCGGUUCUGACGUGCAAAUCGAUCGUCAAAUUUGGGUAUAGGGGCGAAAGACUAAUCGAACCAUCUAGUAGCUGGUUCCUGCCGA